This 544-nucleotide ribosomal RNA is filed under the name Leuconostoc mesenteroides. RNAcentral's name for it is "bacterial SSU rRNA". It matches the Rfam family "Bacterial small subunit ribosomal RNA", at positions 144 to 676 of the family's 1533-position model. Lineage: Bacteria; Bacillati; Bacillota; Bacilli; Lactobacillales; Lactobacillaceae. The record is from RNAcentral.
UAACAUUUGGAAACAGAUGCUAAUACCGAAUAAAACUUAGUGUCGCAUGACAAAAAGUUAAAAGGCGCUUCGGCGUCACCUAGAGAUGGAUCCGCGGUGCAUUAGUUAGUUGGUGGGGUAAAGGCCUACCAAGACAAUGAUGCAUAGCCGAGUUGAGAGACUGAUCGGCCACAUUGGGACUGAGACACGGCCCAAACUCCUACGGGAGGCUGCAGUAGGGAAUCUUCCACAAUGGGCGAAAGCCUGAUGGAGCAACGCCGCGUGUGUGAUGAAGGCUUUCGGGUCGUAAAGCACUGUUGUAUGGGAAGAACAGCUAGAAUAGGAAAUGAUUUUAGUUUGACGGUACCAUACCAGAAAGGGACGGCUAAAUACGUGCCAGCAGCCGCGGUAAUACGUAUGUCCCGAGCGUUAUCCGGAUUUAUUGGGCGUAAAGCGAGCGCAGACGGUUUAUUAAGUCUGAUGUGAAAGCCCGGAGCUCAACUCCGGAAUGGCAUUGGAAACUGGUUAACUUGAGUGCAGUAGAGGUAAGUGGAACUCCAUGUGU